AUGAUGGACUAUAGGACAGGACUGCUGCUUUUAACUGUCUGCUGGGCAGGUGUUGAUGGUCAGACUCUGACAGAAUCUGAACCAGUGGUUAAAAGGCCUGGAGAAUCCCACAGAUUGACCUGUACAUCCUCUGGAUUCACAUUCAGUGCACUGUAUUUGGCCUGGAUCAGACAGGCUCCUGGAAAAGGACUGGAGUGGGUGGCCUGGAUUGAAAGUGGUAGUGGUAGCAGCAAAUACUACUCCCAGUCAGUUCAAGGCUGGUUUACCAUCUCCAGAGACAACAGCAGACAGCAGCUGUAUCUGCAGAUGAACAGUUUGAAGACUGAAGAUUCUGCUGUUUAUUAUUGUGUUCGCUCACCUCCGUCCAGCUGCACUUGCCACCCUGCCCUCUCCCCUCAGACCUCUUCCACGGUGUCCUCCCGGUCGUGUUGGAAUUCUGGUAUUGAGAUUUUGGGAUAA
Non-coding RNA from Micropterus dolomieu (smallmouth bass), 459 nucleotides. NCBI's taxonomy places the organism in Eukaryota, Metazoa, Chordata, Actinopteri, Centrarchiformes, Centrarchidae. The record is from the annotation of a RefSeq genome assembly.